Molecule: long non-coding RNA, 650 nt
Organism: Glycine soja
Lineage: Eukaryota; Viridiplantae; Streptophyta; Magnoliopsida; Fabales; Fabaceae
Exons: 2
Source: RefSeq, a predicted model, not a curated record
CUUCUCACACCUCCCAUUUGUAUUUUUGUAAUUCCCCUAAAGUAUGCUUUUCUAGUUUGUAAUUCUCCCACCUUCCUAGUUUCUCUUACAACCCUUCUCAGUUCUCACCCUUUUUUUUUUCCUUUAUCAUCUUUUCCUGCUUCUCCAGCAUCUUCUUGUCUCAAACGGAUUCAGAUGAAAUUUUAUUUUGUAAUAAUCCAUAACGGCCUCUCUCUUCUGCCCGAAAGGCACUGUCUUUCUCCUCAUCUUCAGCUCAUGCAGAUCUGACAAAAUAAAACAAAGAUAAACAGUGAAGGGAGCAAGGAAGGAGGGGAAGAGGGAUCUGCGUGUGAACCUCGCAAUCUUUUGACCCAUAUCGGCGCCGACACGAUGUCUUUGUACCCAGAUCUGAACUGCAACUUCGAUCUCCGAUUAGCGAUGCCGUAUAGCAGGAUCUGCGAGCGAACCUCACCCACAGCCAUGGAUGGUGAGAUCACGAGCAAGGUGAUUGAGUUGGUGAUAUUUUGGUUUGAGAGCAAUGAAGGUCAUAAUUUUGCAUCACUGUGCAUAGUUCCUUAGGCCUCUUUUUACCGUGAACAUUUGCAAUUCAAGAAGAAGAUGACUGUAUUUUCGACAAAUAAAUCUCUAAAAAUCAUGUGCCGCUCAUUAUA